GAUGAACGCUGGCGGCGUGCUUAACACAUGCAAGUCGAACGGAAAGGCUCCUGCUUGCAGGGGUACUCGAGUGGCGAACGGGUGAGUAACACGUGGGUGAUCUGCCCUGCACUUCGGGAUAAGCCUGGGAAACUGGGUCUAAUACCGGAUAGGACGAUGGUUUGGAUGCCAUUGUGGAAAGUUUUUUCGGUGUGGGAUGGGCUCGCGGCCUAUCAGCUUGUUGGUGGGGUAAUGGCCUACCAAGGCGUCGACGGGUAGCCGGCCUGAGAGGGUGUACGGCCACAUUGGGACUGAGAUACGGCCCAGACUCCUACGGGAGGCAGCAGUGGGGAAUAUUGCACAAUGGGCGCAAGCCUGAUGCAGCGACGCCGCGUGGGGGAUGACGGCCUUCGGGUUGUAAACUCCUUUCGCUAGGGACGAAGCGCAAGUGACGGUACCUGGAGAAGAAGCACCGGCUAACUACGU
RNAcentral lists this ribosomal RNA (465 nucleotides) under uncultured bacterium. RNAcentral describes it as "partial 16S ribosomal RNA". It matches the Rfam family "Bacterial small subunit ribosomal RNA", at positions 28 to 506 of the family's 1533-position model. The record is from RNAcentral.